Small nuclear RNA from Fukomys damarensis (Damara mole-rat), 107 nucleotides. NCBI's taxonomy places the organism in Eukaryota, Metazoa, Chordata, Mammalia, Rodentia, Bathyergidae. The record is from Ensembl.
GUGCUCACUUCGGCAUCACAUAUACUGAAAUUGGAAUGAUACAGAGAAGAUUAGCGUGGGACCUGUGCAAGGAUGACAGGCAAAUUCGUGAAGCGUUGCAUAUUUGA